Molecule: long non-coding RNA, 1111 nt
Filed under: Musa acuminata (dwarf banana)
Lineage: Eukaryota; Viridiplantae; Streptophyta; Magnoliopsida; Zingiberales; Musaceae
Description: long non-coding RNA (MACU_LNC004234)
Source: RNAcentral
ACCGCUGCAAACAUCUUUCUUGGUGCUAUCAGAGUUCAAGCGAAACAUGGAUUGCAGAUGCCUAUACAGACGAUAAUGGGAACGAUCAGAGGAAGGAGGUGACAAUUUAUUCAUCACUAGAUGUGAAAGGAUAGUAUACAUCAUCACUUAAGAGAUACUGACAUAUCAAGAGAUCGAAUGUCUUCGAUCUUUGGGUGGCUUUGUCCGACCUUUGCUGGAGAAAGGCUUCACACCGUCGGCGUGCGUGAAGGGGUAGAGGCGCCCGAGCUUCUUAGAGAGAGAGUUUAUGAAGGACUUCUUCGGCAGCGGAGGCUUCUGUGCAGAUGGUAUUUGUCCUGAUGGCUUCUCCACUUCCUUCAGCAGCAUUCUCAUCCUCAGCAACUGCAUUCUCAGGUCAUCGUUCUCCCUUUGCAGGCGCGAGAGUUCGUCCGUGCCUCCGCGAUGUUUCGUCGAACAUGGAGUCGACCUGAGCGACAGCGCAGGAGAUUCUCCCCCCGUGAAGCUUCCGCUCGUUGCAUCUCUGAAGCGCUGCUGCUCGCAGAAAAGAACCUGAACCACCGUCUGCACCGGAAGCCUUUCGUUCUGAGCCGCAUGAGCACAAGCCUCCCUUGACAGUUUCUGGCAGUCCAUCAAGCUGCAAACCUUCUUCCUCUCCUCAUCAGUCGAUGACGGGUGAGCCUGCAAGUUGAGUCAGUAGCAGCAAAUCACGGAUGGGAAGCAAAAGAAGCAGAAGCAGAUGUCUCACCUUGAGGUAUAUGUCAAUGGCUCUGUACAUCCCAUCUUCGUUAACUCUUGCUUGCUCGGACACCAACUCACCAAGGCUAAUAAACCUGGCGAUCGUCAAGUUGGGAUCAGAUGCAAUCUCCGCAAGGUAGCUCUCCAUCAGCCUUCCAACUCGCUCCAUGUCGCCGUGCGGUGGCGAGAUGUAGUCGUCGUCGGUGCUGUAGCCAAUCCGGCUUCCAUUGACCUCAUGCUCGAGGUAGUUCAUCAGUAUCCUCUGAACCGUGUCGACGUCGAACAUGGUGUCGCCAUCGAAGGUGAACGAGGGAAUCAGUAGAUCGUCUAUCACUGCCUGGCCGAGUUGCAAGCCCAUCCUCUUCUCCAGAUCAAG